This 270-nucleotide ribosomal RNA is filed under the name uncultured archaeon. RNAcentral's name for it is "partial 16S ribosomal RNA". It matches the Rfam family "Archaeal small subunit ribosomal RNA", at positions 477 to 747 of the family's 1478-position model. The record is from RNAcentral.
CAGCACCUCAAGUGGUCAGGAUGAUUAUUGAGCCUAAAGCGUCCGUAGCCGGACUAGUAAACCCUUGGGUAAAUUGGGCAGCUUAACUGUCCAAAUUCCGAGGGGACUGCUAGUCUUGGGACCGGGAGAGGUCAGAGGUACUCCAGGGGUAGGGGCUAAAUCCUGUAAUCCUUGGGGGACCACCAGUGGCGAAGGCGUCUGACUAGAACGGAUCCGACGGUAAGGGACGAAACCCUGGGGCGCGAACCGGAUUAGAUACCCGAGUAGUCC